This 367-nucleotide ribosomal RNA is filed under the name uncultured organism. Its description in RNAcentral is "bacterial LSU rRNA". It matches the Rfam family "Bacterial large subunit ribosomal RNA", at positions 2099 to 2465 of the family's 2925-position model. The record is from RNAcentral.
CUUUACUGUAGCCUGGAAUUGGGUUCGGGCUUCGCUUGCGCAGGAUAGGUGGGAGGCAUUGAAGUACCCCUUGUGGGGGGUAUGGAGCCAACGGUGAGAUACCACUUUAGCGAGGCUAGAAUUCUAACCCUUACCCGUCAUCCGGGAAGGAGACAGUUUCAGGGGGGUAGUUUGACUGGGGCGGUCGCCUCCUAAAAGGUAACGGAGGCGCGCAAAGGUUCCCUCAAGCUGGUUGGAAAUCAGCUUAAGAGUGUAAAGGCAGAAGGGAGCUUGACUGCAAGAGUGACAACUCAAGCAGGGACGAAAGUCGGCCUUAGUGAUCCGACGGCACUGCAUGGAAGGGCCGUCGCUCAACGGAUAAAAGUUA